AGUGAACGCUGGCGGUAGGCCUAACACAUGCAAGUCGAACGGCAGCACAGUAAGAGCUUGCUCUUACGGGUGGCGAGUGGCGGACGGGUGAGGAAUACAUCGGAAUCUACUUUUUCGUGGGGGAUAACGUAGGGAAACUUACGCUAAUACCGCAUACGACCUACGGGUGAAAGCAGGGGAUCUUCGGACCUUGCGCGAUUGAAUGAGCCGAUGUCGGAUUAGCUAGUUGGCGGGGUAAAGGCCCACCAAGGCGACGAUCCGUAGCUGGUCUGAGAGGAUGGUGGGCCACACUGGAACUGAGACACGGUCCAGACUCCUACGGGAGGCAGCAGUGGGGAAUAUUGGACAAUGGGCGCAAGCCUGAUCCAGCCAUACCGCGUGGGUGAAGAAGGCCUUCGGGUUGUAAAGCCAUUUUGUUGGGAAAGAAAAGCAGCAGGUUAAUACCCCGCUGUUCUGACGGUACCCAAAGAAUAAGCACCGGCUAACUUCGUG
Molecule: ribosomal RNA, 492 nt
Filed under: uncultured bacterium
Lineage: Bacteria
Description: partial 16S ribosomal RNA
Rfam family: Bacterial small subunit ribosomal RNA
Source: RNAcentral